GAUAACCUACGGGACGCAGCAGUGGGGAAUAUUGGACAAUGGGGGGAACCCUGAACGAGCAAUGCCGCGUGAACGAGGAAGGUCUUCGGAUCGUAAAGUUCUGUUGAAGGGGAAAAAGAGCGGAGAGAGGAAAUGGUCUCCGAUUGAUAUUACCCUUCGAGGAAGUCACGGCUAACUACGUGCCAGCAGCCGCGGUAAUACGUAGGUGGCGAGCGUUAUCCGGAAUGAUUGGGCGUAAAGGGUGCGUAGGCGGCCUGCUAAGUCUGGAGUGAAAGGUACCGGCUCAACCGGUACAG
This 296-nucleotide ribosomal RNA is filed under the name uncultured bacterium. Its description in RNAcentral is "partial 16S ribosomal RNA". It matches the Rfam family "Bacterial small subunit ribosomal RNA", at positions 333 to 621 of the family's 1533-position model. The record is from RNAcentral.